AUAAAAGUCUAUUCGCAUUGGCCGAAAGCUUAAUUGAACUAUCAAAGAUAGUGGGGACCGUUUUAAGCAAACUGGAAUCGCUCGGGUAUCCUUGACAAACUCGAUGAGCUUUAUGAUUUAGCUAAUUAGUGCUCAAUUUAACAAGGAGGUUGACAAAGAGUCUUCAGCAGCUAAUAAAAAGCAGGAGGAGGAUGUCCUGGCUCCCAAACAGUCAAUAUUGGCGUUUGAGUCAAAUUCUUCGUAAUCGACAUAUUCAACUUUGUUCGUUGAUCCUUGUUUCAAACUUUUUUGGUAGAGCAAUCUUCUAGCGAACCACCGUCCUCAGCCUCACCGGUUGUAGCACCAGAAGAAAUCACAGUAGCCAUUAUACCCUUUAAUUUUAUUCUCCUACUUUACCGGUUCUUUUUUGAAAUAGAAUAAAAGGCAUCCAAAGUGAAAAAUGCUCCUAUUGUGUGGUUCAAGCACUGACUCCGGUUUUCCUUUUCUAAAAAGAAAAUAAUGGUCUAUUGCCCUCAAUUUUUUGUUUAAUUUAUGCUCAAUCCUUAUACUCUUCCAACUUUUGAAAAUUAAUCCCAAUACUUUUAAUUCUAAGAA
This is a long non-coding RNA of Gossypium arboreum, 594 nucleotides long. RefSeq lists it as uncharacterized. NCBI's taxonomy places the organism in Eukaryota, Viridiplantae, Streptophyta, Magnoliopsida, Malvales, Malvaceae. The record is from RefSeq and is a predicted model, not a curated record. The transcript has 2 exons.